This is a long non-coding RNA of Oreochromis aureus, 885 nucleotides long. RefSeq lists it as uncharacterized. NCBI's taxonomy places the organism in Eukaryota, Metazoa, Chordata, Actinopteri, Cichliformes, Cichlidae. The transcript has 4 exons. The record is from RefSeq and is a predicted model, not a curated record.
UCUGCCUUUAAACAGUUGGCCCUCUGUCUCGCCUACUUUGUAUUCCAAUGACGGUAAGGUCAAACCUCAUUUGAUGUAAGAGGGGAGAGAAAAUGUGUUGGAGGAAAAGAAACCCUUUGCCUGUGGAAAAAUUUCGGAAUUUGUGCUGCCACGGGCCUCGGCAACAGGCCGUCUCUGGAAACAGACUCCAGACCAAAGGGACGGCUGGGUGGCUCUUCAAGUGCGGCCCUGAAUUGCUCCAUCAAAAUAAAGACCUGGGCUUUUUUUCCACCCGUGGCGAAGUGGAAAGAUGACCUUUCUGGACCCCUCAGAGGUUACUCUCACCUCCCACAUGGUCAUCUGCUGCUGAGCUAAUGGGGAUCAUGACUGCCUACUACACAAGAGGAAACCUCCAGAGCUGCAAACAUAGAAGAGGCAAAAAGUGCAGUUCAUCAAGUUGAUACUUAGAGGCUGGCUCCAAAAGGGAGUCAGUAUAGGGUCUGAUUUUUUUUUCCCACAGUUUAAAAAAACUCCUUCACAACAGCUAAUCAAGUCAAGAACACACUCGUGGACGUAGGCAUAUCAUUGUCAAAGUCUACAAUCAAGAGACGCCUUCAUGAAUGGAUUUACAGAGGGUUUCCAGCAAGGUGCAAAGCACUGGUUAUACUCAAGGACGGAUGAGACUUUGCCAGAAAGAAUAAUAACCCAAAGUAUUUUGCAAAAGUAACUCAGGAGUUUCUCACUAGAAAAUAAACAGCCAAGUCAGUCAUCUGAUCUCAGAGUUCCAGACUUCAAGCAGUCAUCGACUGCAAGCGAUUUUCAUCCAGUUGUCUGGGACACCGAGUAGUCCUCCACACGCAGCCUCCGCUGAUGCCUGGUGAACUGGCUGAAGAUAUUGGCCAAAGC